UACGUAGGGCGCAAGCGUUGUCCGGAAUUCUUGGGCGUAAAGCGCUCGUAGGCGGUUUGUCGCGUCUGUCGUGAAAGCUUGGGGCUUAACCCCAAGUCUGCGGUGGAUACGGGCAGACUAGAGGCAGGUAGGGGAGAACGGAAUUCCCGGUGUAGCGGUGAAAUGCGCAGAUAUCGGGAGGAACACCGGUGGCGAAGGCGGUUCUCUGGGCCUGUACUGACGCUGAGGAGCGAAAGCGUGGGGAGCGAACAGG
This 253-nucleotide ribosomal RNA is filed under the name uncultured bacterium. RNAcentral describes it as "partial 16S ribosomal RNA". It matches the Rfam family "Bacterial small subunit ribosomal RNA", at positions 524 to 776 of the family's 1533-position model. The record is from RNAcentral.